Molecule: long non-coding RNA, 321 nt
Filed under: Phoenix dactylifera (date palm)
Lineage: Eukaryota; Viridiplantae; Streptophyta; Magnoliopsida; Arecales; Arecaceae
Description: long non-coding RNA (PDAC_LNC016067)
Source: RNAcentral
CUUCUUGCUCUUGCAGUCUUCGUUUCGGGGGUCGGCCCAUGGGCUCCGCUUUCUUGGACUUCUGGUACCCCAUCUUCUUCGCCUCCUCGGGAUCCGGGGAGGAGGAUGAGAGGUGGUCGGAGCACGUAAGAGAAGGCUUGGGGGGGUGGAAGAACCGAAGAGACUGGUGGCGCUCGGAGCUACCUCCCCUGCGGAGGGUGGAGUUGGAGUUGGGGUUUUGGAUUCGUAGCAACGGUUCUGCUGGAGGUGGCGAGCCGUAACUCCGGCGUGGGUCAAGAACGGAAACGAAAAGGGCCGAGCCUCUACUGCUGCUGGGAGGGC